This 3768-nucleotide long non-coding RNA is filed under the name Triticum aestivum (bread wheat). Its description in RNAcentral is "long non-coding RNA (TAES_LNC022675)". Lineage: Eukaryota; Viridiplantae; Streptophyta; Magnoliopsida; Poales; Poaceae. The record is from RNAcentral.
UGAACUGAGGCUCGUACAGCAACCCAACGGUAACGCGUGGCUCCUACGGUGGGUCGACACUCGACAGAAAGUGCUUUAACAGAGGUGUGGUUAACGGGGCAUACAGGACAGGUUACAGACGCCGGGAGAGGUAAAAAUUCACACACUAUCUCACCGUGUGGUGAUGUGAUGUACAGACAGAGACAAGUACAGUAUUUUUCUUCUUUUUCCCUUUGCACAGACGAAAUGGAGGCUCGUACUGCUAAGCAAGUUUAAGAUUUAUCGGAAAAGGAGUUGAACUCUAGAGAUGUUCUCACUGAAAACUUGAUCGAGAAAGGAGCUUUGUUAUUGGAUCAAAAUACUCACGUCUCUUAAAUCAUGAUCAGAGUCAAGGCUAGCUUUGUACUGAUCUCAUUAUGCGAUAGCAAUGGAGAAGGAUAACGCAAAUCAUGCUUCACCUAUAUCGUUGUUGGGGGCUUAGUUCUCCAUGUUCUUUGGUUGUUUGUGGUACAAUCAGUGAGGAAACUCAAAUACCAUGCACGUUUGGCUGGUCAGAAUUGCGAUCUCCAUGUAUAGCUACAGAAUGUCGGACUGAGCUUCAGUGAGAAUGUCAGUGUGUUGGAAAUUGGAACUCUAACAAUAUGUUAAGUUUCUAGGAUGGCAUGAAUAUGCAUACUACUUGGUUGUUACUACUAGUAUUCAUUUUCCACUAUCGAAGCGAUAACGGAACAAGCGGCCGAAGGCCCAAGUCCUAAAACCUUGUCCGGGGCCUCUUCGAAACAUGCAGAAAACAAACAAACUAGAGCAAAAGAAGAUUACAAGACCGCAGAGCGAGUCUGGCAACUUGCACAAUCUGAAGUUAUCAUGCAUCAAUUCUGCAGAACCAAACAUCAGGACCAGUGAACCGACCUAUGGUUAGAUGGUUAGAAGGACUGUGGUAUCCCCAGACCUUUGUCGUGUCAUCAGUCAUCACCAGGUCAAUUUCCCAUAGAAGAAUACUCCAUCGGGUCUUUAGUGUGCGCCUCAAGCGUUAGCUGAACCCUUGAUGCUCUCACCCCCACAUUUAGUCGCUAGCAUUGGAUUUUAUUUAUUUCAUUUCUUCUGUUGGAUAAUUUCCCAGGGAUUAGAGCUAGGGAUCAAGUAAUUGAAAGUUGUGCGCAUGCAAAUAUUACAACAUUAAGGCUUUUUUUUAACAAGAUUGAGAGUUUCUGUAAAGUACAGUAGCUUUCUUGUAAAGACUAAAGACAUUAUCUGAUUUGCUGAGUUGCCUACUUUAGGGGCAAGUACACGAAUGGUACCACUAAUUCUGUUAGAGGAAAGUGUUGGGUCUUAAUUUUGAAGUAAAUAAAUGGUUAAAUAUUAGCACUAGUACAUGUUUAGGACUAACAGAAGCAUGUUUGCACAUUAGCAUUAUCUAACAUGGACUCAAAGCUAUUUUCCAUGGAAGACGCUACUUCCGUGUUAAGAACCCGUAGACCCCAUGUUUACACUGAUCUCAGGUCACAAAUUUGUACAGGUUUACACCGAUUUUUCAUAAUCUCUCGAUCAUAAUUUAGGUUGUCUGAUCGCUACUUGCUUAGCUUCAACUUAGCAUACCUUUUCUUGAACUACCCAUUUGUAAGUUGCUCUGCAUUUCAGGAGGUUCUGCAUCUCUCAGGGUGAUACCAAACUUGCAUCAAUAUGUCAUGGGUCCACUCCGUCAGGUAUUUAUCCAUUUAUUUUUAUUUUUUUCUGAGAACUCUCACCCAACUUAAUUACUGCAUCAAGAUUCAUAGGUACUAGGUUUGGGCCAUACGGAUUCCCCAACCAUAUAUGGCGACCUAUAUCUAAGUUACAUGCAAACUGAACGAGAUUGUGAGCUUCAAAAUUAAAGUUUCCAUGCAUGAACGGUGUCUAUCUGAUGGUAGAUAGUGUUUGUCCCAGAGAGCGGUGUUUCUGCUCCCGGGCUCAAAUGAGCCCGGGCAAAAUAAAAAAGAAUCGUUAAAAAUAGAUUUUUUUUAAAAAAAUCCCGAUUUUUUGGAAGCAAGAUGCUCAUGUGCGUGAUGUUCGUGCAAAAAUCGGUGAAGUUUGGACACUCGAGGAGCACGCGAUAAAAAAGAUAAAUUUCGGCUUUGUGAGUAAGGUUAUUGUUCACACACUGUUUGGACCGAUUUUCUCAGAUGUCCAAACGGGGUGAAAUUUUGCAUAGACAUUACGCAUGCGAACAUCUUCCAUACAAAAAAAUUUGAGAUUUUUUUGAAUUUAUGUAGUAUAUUUUUUCUGAAUUUACUGUAGCUCGGGAGCAAAUGAGCCCAAGCAUCGAGUUGGAUUUUCGUUUGUCCCAUGACUUUUUAGCAGUGGCGUGCUUUUUUUUUUUACUUUUCUUUUUGGGGAGGCAGAAUUGUUGGGGUGUGACUGUUCGUUUAUCCAGCUGAUAUAUGGGCUGGGCCAAAAUCUUAGGGUGGGGCGUGCCCCCUACACCCUGCUGAAUCCACCAGUGUUGCAAAUUCUUGUUUCCCCUAAAAAAAUGCAAAUUCUUGCUAUAUCCAAAAUUCAGUGAAACAAGCAUCGUGCUAUUGACAUGGAAAAAACCCCGUACUUGGUUUCCUAAAUUUACGUGUACACAUUUUUCUAUUGAAGAAUGUUCAAAUAUUGAAAGUGUACCGAACUACUCAAGAGAUAAAACCAUGGGCCUACUUGUUGCUUCAGUGUUUCUAUUUUAAGCUCGGUGCACUGUUAUUUAGACGAAAUGUUUCUGAACAGGUGUAUCAUGUUUGAACGUCCUGAGUAUGUGCUUCUGUAUUCUGCACUUUUUUGAAAUUUACAAGAAAAUAAGAAGUGUGCAAAGAUCAAAGAUCACUAGGUCGAUGAGGGUAUCUUGAUUUUGCAGUUUAACUAGGUAAGUUGUGUUACUUUCUUGUCAUUCGCUGCAUGCCCAUUUCAAAGGUAAAUGUAUAUUUGAGCCCAAUCAUGUUUGGAGUUCGUGUCAAACCAUCCCAAGCAUGUAAAGACAGUAUCCGCAUUCCCUUUUUGUUGUUGCUUCGGUUACUUAAAAAAACAGGAGGAUAACCCCCCGGCCUCCACAUCAGGAUGAUGCAUACUGGCAUAUAUUAUUACGAAUGCAAAAUUCAGCUGCCGAACAACAUUGGCCCGGAAAUAAUGCGCAAGAAAAUCCAAGGUUGCAUGCCUCGCGACAGUAACUCCACCAAAUAAUCACUAACUCUAUGUUACAAGACGACAUCAAGACGGAAAAUGCACAACUCCUAGACUGCGCCUUCGGUUACUUGCUAAUGAAAUCUGCUUAAAGGCUAAAAAACUGCUUUGGACCACUGUGGCACACAUCAUCUGGUCUUUUUUCUUAACUAUCUUUGCCUUUUGCUUUUACAUACUUGUGUGGGGAUCUAUAAAUCGGUAUCUCUUCUUUCUUUUGGAGAAGCAGUUGAGACGUUGGACUCAGACUAAUGUAUUGCAUGUUGUGCGUGCUUAAACCAAGGGUCCAAAAGCACUUUCGCCGGUUAUCUUAUCUGAUUGCUACUUGCUUACCAUGGACCACGAUGCACAUCACAUGAUAGCUUGGGAAGUCCUCUGAAUGUAGUGCAGAUACACACACCCAUCCACCGCAGAACGAGUAAGAAAGAAGGAUGAGCGAACCGAUGGAUGUUCUGCGUGCUGAAUGCUGAAUACUCGUUGCUGCACUUGGAGAACCCUCAUCGUAGGGGCAUGAGGAGCUAAGGAUUAGCUAGGUCGCUCUAACUUAAUUUUGAAGGGAACAAGUCUCAUCCAGUCGUCCUCUAUACCUAGAAAAAAAAA